GCCACAUCCUGUGGGAGUGCAGGGAGACAUCCCCAGCUGGCAGGCUCCGCGUCCUGGAGCGUGACUGGGUGUGUGUGUCCCUGACUGUGCAUCAUUUCAGGGUGGGGCUGUCUUGAACACAGCCAUUUGGUUUCUGUCACAUGAGCCCGAAACACAUGAGCAAAGACUCUUUGAAAACACAUUGUUCGUCAAUGAUUUUAAAAUACUUUUCCCUAAAACAUGAAGUAGCUUUUUCUAGUAAUUUUCAUGUACAUACUUGGGAAAUCUCCCCCAUCAUGGGAAAGCUACCCAGAAAUCGACAGCAAGAAUCUGGAGAGGAAAGGAUCGGAGAACAGGGGACAUCCACCUAUUCCCAGCCCCGGCAGAUUCAUCACAUUUCAAUCCUGACUGUGCACUGGAAUCACCCGGACAGCUUUAAGGACACAGAUGCUUCACCUCUGAACUAUGAAAUCAGAAUCUCUUGGGCCGAGACCUGGCUGUCGUUGCUGUUUGUAGAAUCCUGCAGGUGAUCGUGCUUUGCGGCCAGGGCUGAGAAGCACUGAUAUGCAGGUCUAGGAAAUUACCACAGCUGGAAAAGGUCA
RNAcentral lists this long non-coding RNA (581 nucleotides) under Heterocephalus glaber (naked mole-rat). RNAcentral describes it as "lncRNA (ENSHGLG00000044624.1)". The record is from RNAcentral. Lineage: Eukaryota; Metazoa; Chordata; Mammalia; Rodentia; Bathyergidae.